Tigriopus californicus is the source of this 3214-nucleotide long non-coding RNA. RefSeq lists it as uncharacterized. The transcript has 4 exons. Lineage: Eukaryota; Metazoa; Arthropoda; Copepoda; Harpacticoida; Harpacticidae. The record is from RefSeq and is a predicted model, not a curated record.
AAUGGGUCGGAUCUUGCUUGCUUGCUUACUUGGUUGGUUGGUUGAUGGCGCCACGCGGAGAUUAGGCCCGAUUUGAAGUGUCACCCUAUUAAAGCCAUCAUAAUCUUUUGGGUCCAAGUUGCAGCUUGAUCGUGAACGAAGUUGAAUGUCGUCUCAUUGGUGGAAUAGAGUGCUGGUGUUGAUGAUGGGACUACGACAUUUACAGACAAAUAUACACGCAGAAAGACAGAGAGAGAGAGCUAGAGUGAGCGACAAUUCAUCCCGGGACGAUGACUGCAAAGUGCGAAGGAAACGGACCAAGAAGAGCUAAAUGAAAAAGAAGAAGAAGAGUUCAAAACCGAGCCCUGACUUCCUCGAUGAUCGAGAGAUUCCAUGAGUCUGUAUUUAUAAACAUAUAAUGAUCCUCGUUAUUUGGAAGCACAGAAGGAACGGAAACCAUAAUUUUCUGCGCCUCUCUCCCAAAAAAGACAUUUUGGCGGCCGUUUACACGUACCACACGUAGACCCCUUAUUGAGUGAUUACAGGGCUAAAUCACUUGCAGCUAAUUACUUGUGUAUGAUUAACAGCAAUCAUCUCUCCAUGUUUGAACACAGGAGUGGUUUCUCAAAAAACUAGAGAUGAACCACAUUCCAAUUUUUAUGCCUUUGGAGGCUGUGUAGCGUGCAAUGUGCAAAACCAAUGGUUUUGAGCUGGGAAACAACAGGUAGCUGGGUGUAACCAUUUGGUGCUGUUGUUAUUUGUUUUUGGCGAAGACCACAAAAAUCUCCGAAAUAGCUUCCAAUGAGUUGGUUAUGGUUGUCUUCAGGGUUGCCAAGGCGCCACUUUCCGCUCGCUGUCUGAGCUGCACUAACUGAAGCAGGUCUGCGUCUCAUUUAUCAUUGGCUGCAUGAAGCUUGGCCAUAACGGCAUCCCUGACUUGCGAACCAUUGUCGCGAUCCCAAAUGGCAUGGAAGCCGUCAAAUCGACAAUGUUAUGAGUAUGAAUAACUUCCUAAAGUCAUUCUCAUUUUGGUGGCUGAACAAGGUGUCUAGUAGACGCAACCAGAAAGUACUACACUUCAACCACUUCCCUAUCUUCUCUCACAGGACUUCAGUAUUAUAGAAAAAAAAGAGAAGACGAGUGAGAAUAGAGCCAGUCGGGUAAUUAUGGCCAUUAUUUAAUCUUUAACUUAAUUGCUGACACAUACAUUUGACAGUUUUACGAUCACCAAGUUCAACAACAACAACAGCUACAACAAUGUUGUUGUCGUCCUCCUGGACUGGUUCCCCAAGUAAACACUGCAUUUUAAAUGUGAGAAAAUCAAUCUCCCCGCUCGAAGAAAUGACUCGCCGACAACUAACCAGCAGACGGCAUUCUUAUGUCUUUUGUGGUGAUGGUUGAUGGUGGUGCACAAUGUCGAGUGCACACGAUUAUCCAUGUAGUUCUAUCGUAUAUAGGUGCAUGCAUUUGGAUAACGACACAAUUUAGAUCCAAUGUCCAGAUUGUCUUUUUGAUCCAUCGCCUUGGAAUGCCACUGGAGUCGGAUUGAAAUUGGGAUUGGACAACGAGACAUGAAAAUAUGUGUUUUUCUUGGACAUUUAGUUUUGGGAAAGCUUUCGAGCGACAGAGAGAGGCCUGGUGGGUGGCUAUACUACAGGAAACAUUAAAAUUGUCUAGCAUUCGUUAGCCCUGCUUUUUGUCAAGGCAUAAAUCACCCAAGUAUUUAUGAACCACUCGAGCAGCUUAUUUGGCUGGGAUCGACUCGAUCCUUUGAAACAAUUCUGAGUACUAUUACUCAGAGUGUGCUUUACUUACUGUACAGUACAUGAAAUUACAAACUGAGGAUCGAAUUUGUUGGUCACAAGAAAUAAAAGAUUGUCAUGCCGACGAAUCUCGAUUUCAUCCGACGAUCCAAUGUGACACUUUUGUCGUCUCGCUGGUUUCCGCCUAACCUGACAUGUGAAUUAAGUCACUUUUUUCCGGCCUACCGAUCUCUCAUUGCUCCCAUUUGAAAUACAGAUACACAUAUGUAGAUAUACAUAUGUGGAAUCUUUUUUCGUUCCAAUGGCAGAUUUCGCAACUUCAAUUCGAGUCAGUGUCUCCAAAACCGGGCAAAGCUGAUGAAUAAAAUGAUCUUGGUCAGACUAUUCUUGUUUCUUAACGGGCAUGGCUGUCUCUCAAGAUUAUCCAGCAGCACUCAUCGUUAUCGUCAUAGGUGCACUCGGGGCCCUUGAAGCGAUAAAUUACGGAUAAUUAUACAAUAAAAUUCUAAUGACGGGCUUGAAUAACAUGGGCGAAAAGCCAGUCAAAUAGCGUCCGUCCUCCUCCUCCUCCUCGCUCACUCCUCACUCACUCACCUUGCCACUUAUGUACACAUAGUACUAUAUUGUGCCGUCAAAUAUACCAGCUGACAAAAAGAUCGUGUCUCUAUUGUUGCAAGUGCAUAACACACUCACUCACAAACAUACACAUUUCUAUUGAUUAACUAUCCCAGAUCCCAUGAGUCUUCAAAUUGAACGGGCUUGAAGAUCGAAUCUGUGACUUGUCGAGCCACCGGACUUCUCACCAUCAUUUGCUCAUCCCAAACUCGUGACUGACGCACUCAUUCAUUUACGUUCCGUACAGUAGUGAAUGCAUGCAUACGUAGUACAUUUGUAGUACACACAGUGAGCCGCGUGGUCAUGGGUCGCCUCGGCUUUUGGACCUACGUACAUCCCUACUUACUGAUUAACGAACCAACCAACUAACCCAUAAGUUAGAAUCGCUAAUCGGCGAUGUUUUUCUAAUUCUGUCUCAAGUUACGGAAGUCGACAUAAAUCACGGGGUCAAGUGAAACUACAUGUACCUUAUGUAGUAUUGCCGUUACAGUGGAGCUAGUGAAAGGGACACACACAGGAAGUGGACUUGAAAUUCAAUAUCCCACUGAGACGAUUUCACGUGAUUGCUGUUUUAUUGAAUAUCAUAAAGCUAUCGGAGACCUGGCUGAACCUCACACUUUCUGGGGUGAUUUUUAAAUCGAUUUCUAUGGCUAGUUAUUCUGGAUCUACAAUGGAACUCGGCGUUGCUCUUGACAAGGCUAUAAAGGGGAGACCUUGGUUCUAGUAUUCACUUGGAAUAUUAUGUCAAUGAACAAAAGCUGGAGAUCAAAACAAAACCCCAAAUCUGCCAAGAUACCUGAUUUUAAAACCCCAGCUUCUUUUAAUGUUAAAUGUUAAAUUUCCAAAAUUCUAUGGAG